This 528-nucleotide ribosomal RNA is filed under the name uncultured bacterium. RNAcentral's name for it is "bacterial SSU rRNA". It matches the Rfam family "Bacterial small subunit ribosomal RNA", at positions 777 to 1304 of the family's 1533-position model. The record is from RNAcentral.
AAUAGAUACCCGGGUAGUCCACGCCGUAAACGAUGAGUGCUAAGUGUUAGGGGGUUUCCGCCCCUUAGUGCUGCAGCUAACGCAUUAAGCACUCCGCCUGGGGAGUACGGUCGCAAGACUGAAGCUCAAAGGAAUUGACGGGGGCCCGCACAAGCGGUGGAGCAUGUGGUUUAAUUCGAAGCAACGCGAAGAACCUUACCAGGUCUUGACAUCCCGCUGACCGCUAUGGAGACAUAGCUUUCCCUUCGGGGACAGCGGUGACAGGUGGUGCAUGGUUGUCGUCAGCUCGUGUCGUGAGAUGUUGGGUUAAGUCCCGCAACGAGCGCAACCCUUGUCCUUAGUUGCCAUCAUUCAGUUGGGCACUCUAAGGAGACUGCCGUACAAAUACGGAGGAAGGUGGGGAUGACGUCAAAUCAUCAUGCCCCUUAUGACCUGGGCUACACACGUGCUACAAUGGACGGUACAAACGGUUGCGAAGUCGCGAGACGGAGCCAAUCCGAGAAAGCCGUUCUCAGUUCGGAUUGCAGG